RNAcentral lists this ribosomal RNA (442 nucleotides) under uncultured bacterium. RNAcentral describes it as "bacterial SSU rRNA". It matches the Rfam family "Bacterial small subunit ribosomal RNA", at positions 338 to 795 of the family's 1533-position model. The record is from RNAcentral.
CCUACGGGAGGCAGCAGUGGGGAAUAUUGCACAAUGGGGGAAACCCUGAUGCAGCGACGCCGCGUGACUGAAGAAGUAUUUCGGUAUGUAAAGGUCUAUCAGCAAGGAAGAAGAGAGACGGUACUUGACUAAGAAGCCCCGGCUAACUACGUGCCAGCAGCCGCGGUAAUACGUAGGGGGCAAGCGUUAUCCGGAUUUACUGGGUGUAAAGGGAGCGUAGGUGGUAAGGCAAGCCAGAAGUGAAAGCCCGGGGCUCAACCCCGAGGAUUGCUUUUGGAACUGUCGAACUAGAGUGCAGGAGGGGCAAGCGGAAUUCCUAGUGUAGCGGUGAAAUGCGUAGAUAUUAGGAGGAACACCAGUGGCGAAGGCGGCUUGCUGGACUGUAACUGACACUGAGGCUCGAAAGCGUGGGGAGCAAACAGGAUUAGAUACCCCAGUAGUC